AGCUGCGCAGUGGAUACAGAGCGAACUAAUCUUUCGCCUUUUACUAAAGAUUACCGUGUGUCCGCUGCAAUAAGCAGCAUACGCUAAUUUUUUUGCAGGGUUCCUUCUCCUUGGAAGGAU
RNAcentral lists this small nuclear RNA (120 nucleotides) under Sorghum bicolor (sorghum). RNAcentral describes it as "snRNA U5". It matches the Rfam family "U5 spliceosomal RNA". Rfam says of the family: U5 RNA is a component of both types of known spliceosome. Lineage: Eukaryota; Viridiplantae; Streptophyta; Magnoliopsida; Poales; Poaceae. The record is from Rfam by way of RNAcentral.